UCUUCGGCAAUGGGGGCAACCCUGACCGAGCAACGCCGCGUGAGUGAAGAAGGUUUUCGGAUCGUAAAGCUCUGUUGUAAGUCAAGAACGAGUGUGAGAGUGGAAAGUUCACACUGUGACGGUAGCUUACCAGAAAGGGACGGCUAACUACGUGCCAGCAGCCGCGGUAAUACGUAGGUCCCGAGCGUUGUCCGGAUUUAUUGGGCGUAAAGCGAGCGCAGGCGGUUUGAUAAGUCUGAAGUUAAAGGCUGUGGCUCAACCAUAGUUCGCUUUGGAAACUGUCAAACUUGAGUGCAGAAGGGGAGAGUGGAAUUCCAUGUGUAGCGGUGAAAUGCGUAGAUAUAUGGAGGAACACCGGUGGCGAAAGCGGCUCUCUGGUCUGUAACUGACGCUGAGGCUCGAAAGCGUGGGGAGCGAACAGGA
This 423-nucleotide ribosomal RNA is filed under the name uncultured bacterium. RNAcentral describes it as "bacterial SSU rRNA". It matches the Rfam family "Bacterial small subunit ribosomal RNA", at positions 362 to 777 of the family's 1533-position model. The record is from RNAcentral.